RNAcentral lists this long non-coding RNA (923 nucleotides) under Theobroma cacao (cacao). RNAcentral describes it as "long non-coding RNA (TCAC_LNC000718)". Lineage: Eukaryota; Viridiplantae; Streptophyta; Magnoliopsida; Malvales; Malvaceae. The record is from RNAcentral.
UAAACUGGAACUGGAGGAGGAAGUGGUUUCGUAUAUUCCGGAACUGGAGGGGGUUUAUAGAUUGGAACUGGGGGAGGAAGUGGUUUCUUGUAGACCGGAACUGGAGGGGCUUUAUAUACUGGAGGCUUGUAAACUGGAACUGGGGGAGGAAGUGGCUUCUUGUAUACUGGAACCGGAGGAGGUUUAUAGACUGGGGGCUUGUAUUCUGGAACUGGAGGGGGAAGUGGCUUCUCGUAUACGGGAACUGGAGGAGGUUUAUAGACUGGGGGAGGAAGUGGUUUCUCGUAUACUGGAACCGGAGGAGGGUUAUAGACUGGGGGCUUGUAAACUGGAACUGGAGGGGGAAGUGGCUUCUCGUAUACUGGAACCGGAGGAGGUUUAUAGACUGGGGGCUUGUAAACUGGAACUGGGGGAGGAAGUGGUUUCUCGUAUACUGGAACCGGAGGAGGUUUAUAGACUGGGGGCUUGUAAACUGGAACUGGAGGGGGAAGUGGCUUCUCGUAUACUGGAACCGGAGGAGGUUUAUAGACUGGGGGCUUGUACACUGGAACUGGGGGAGGAAGUGGUUUCUCGUAUACUGGAACUGGAGGAGGUUUAUAGACUGGGGGCUUGUAUUCUGGAACUGGAGGGGGAAGUGGUUUCUCGUAUACUGGAACUGGGGGAGGAAGUGGCUUCUUGUAUACUGGAACUGGAGGAGGUUUAUAGACUGGAGGCUUGUAGACUGGAACUGGAGGGGGAAGUGGCUUCUUGUAUACUGGAACUGGAGGAAGUUUAUAAACGGGAGGCUUGUAAACUGGAACUGGAGGAGGAAGUGGUUUUUUGUAUAUCGGAACUGGUGGGGGUUUGUAUAUUGGGAUUGGUGGCGGGAGAGGCUUCUUGUAGAUUGGAGGGAAUAGUGGGUGGUGGAAGCUUUUCACUGGCGG